UGCAUGCAUGACUGUAAGUUGCCUUGGAGAAAAGCAUCUGCUAAAUAACAUAUU
This is a non-coding RNA of Salmo salar (Atlantic salmon), 54 nucleotides long. The record is from Rfam. Lineage: Eukaryota; Metazoa; Chordata; Actinopteri; Salmoniformes; Salmonidae.